AUUUUUAAUUUUGUAUAUGUGUUUGAUAAACUUGUAUUUUGUUAGAAAUGUGUUCGUUUCAUCUAAGCUGUAGGACUGAUUGAGACAGGGUCUCACUCUGUUGCCCAGGCUGGAGUGCAAUGGCAUAGUUGACUCCCUGCAGCCUCAACUUCCCAGGCUCAGGCAAUCCUCCCAAUUUUAGCCCCCUGAGGAGCUGGGACCACAGGUACAUGCCACUGUGCCUGGCUAAUUUCUUUGUUUUAUAUGGAGAUGGGUUCACUUUGUUGCCCAGGCUGAAGAAUUUAUUUAUACAAAGUUAUUUCUGAUAUUUGUUAUUCCUUUAAUGUAUGUGAGAUCCAUUUUGAAACUUAGGAUGUUACUAAUUUGACUUUUUAAUUUUUUAUUAAAACAUCUUGCAAGGGAUUUAUCAGUAGUCUCAAAGGACCAAUUUUUUGUCUUGUUAAUUUUUUCUGUUAUCUUGGUCUCUUUUCUGUUACACUUGUUUGUAUUCAUCAUCUUUUUGUCUACUUUUCAGUUAAUCUCUUUCUAGCCUCUUGUAUACAUUUAGAUCAUCAAUUUGUUUAUAAUGUAAGCAUUUAAAGCUAUAGAUUUCCCUCUAAACUUUGUUAGCUGUAUAUUACAAAUUUUAUAUUUUUAUUUUCUAAUUCCUCUUGAUUCAUGGCUUAUUUAGAAGUUUGAGUUUUUUAAAGGAGUGUGAGGAUUUUCUAGAUACUUCAUUGAUGUCUCAUUUAAUUGUGUUACAGUCCAACACAUAGUGUGUGUGACUUUAGUCCUUGGAAAUUUGUGAAAAUUAUUUUAUGCUACAACCUGUAGCUUAUCUUGAUAAGAAUUUCAUAUAUUCAUUGUAAAUAAUGUAUUAUAGUGUUCUAAAUGUCAUUUAGGUCAGGGUGGCUGACGGUGUUUAUAUCUUCUUAAUCCUGUAUGAUUUUUUUAAAAUCUCCUUUGUCAGUUAUGAUGACAAAAUCACCAGCUCUGAUUUUGGAGUCACCUGUUUCUGCCUUUAGUCCUGUGAGUUUUUGUUUCAUAUGUCUUUAAUCUCUGUUACUAUGAUGCAGAAAUGAUAUGCAUUUAGAAUUACUACAUCGUCCUAAUGAAUUCAUAUAAACAUCACCAUAUCUUUUUUCUUACCUCAGUGGUUACAUGAUGUAUUUUUAUUUCUUUCAGUUUAUCUGAAUCUUUGUAUUUAUGGUGUGUUUCUUGUGGACAGCAUUUUUUUGGUUUUAUUUAACAAUUUUUGUCUUUUAGUUGGAAAAUUUAAUUCACUUAUAUUUAGAGGAAUUAUUGAUACCAUUGGGUUUAGGCUACCAUUUUGCAGAUGUUUUUCUAUUUGUUCUCUCUAGUUUUUGUUUUUCAGUUUUCCUGCCUUUUAGACUAAUCAAGUAAUUUUUGUUUCAUUCUAUUUACUCUCUUGGCUUUUUACCAAUAACAGUAUUAUUUUCUCAGUUGGUAUUCUGGUCAUUACAUUGUACUUACCAUGUUAUACCUAGAAGGUUACUUAAGUUGUAAUAUUUUAUUUACAAUGUCUUGUAAAAUUUAAGAACUUACACAACUAUAAUUUCAUUCAUCCACCUCUGUUGUUUGUGCGAUUAUUGACAUGUAUUUUACUUAAUAAAAAUGUAUGACCCCCAAGGUACAGUGUUAUUUUUGCUUUAGACUUUAAGUUGAUUUUUAAAGAAAAUGAGAAGGGAUAAAAAGGAGUGUUUUGUAUUUACCUACAUAUAUACCAUGUUUGCUCCUUUUUGCUGCUUUUUGUUCCUUUCCUACAGACAUUUCUUUCAUUUGUUUUAGCACCGUUUCUUGGGGAGGCUUUCCUUUCUCCAUUGAUUUACAUUGGCUCCUUUGUUGAAAAUCAAGUGAUAAUAUGUAUGUGAGUCUGAGUUUGGGUCUGCUUUUAAUCCAGUUAAAUGAAUUUUUUAUUUCAGAUAAUUUAUGUUUUAGCUAUAUAAUUUUCAUGUAAAAAUCAUUGAUAAUUUGUGUCCAGUUAAUAUGUAAUAUGGCCUGCUUUUGUUGACUGUUUAUCUCUUGAUUAUGGGUUAUUUUUUCCCUCCAUCUUUGAAUAUCUUUUGUUUUUAACUAGAUACUGGGUAUUUUAUAUAAAAUAAUAGAGACCAAAAUAAAUAUGCUUUCUUUGGAAAGACCCACCCUUUUCUCUCUCCAAUUGCUAAGUUGAGAAGCUGAUCCCUUCCCUGCUCUUAGGAUUUGAGUUGGAAAUGUGAUAAUUCCAUGCUUUAAUAUCACAUCACUCAGGUUUCAGGGAGGAUCAGUCCUCUACCUCAGCAGGACUUUGAGGCAUGAGGCUGCAUAUUCUCAUUGCUUUCCAGCCUUGCCCAAGACUUCCUGUGCUACCAUGUACUCAGCUAAAAACAUGUAUUGGAACUGACUAGUGAAGAGGACUAGCUCUGCUUGCAGCUUCUUAGGUUCCCAUUGUCUGUGCAUGGCCAGUGAAAUUUUAAUUGGCUUCGCUUUUGGCAGGCCCAGUCCUUUGUGUCCUGAUUUGGCAGAUGCUAUCAGUAGUGAAAGUGAUUACCACUGUCUUAACUGAGGAGGAACUCAUCCCUCUCUCUAAAUUAGUUCCUGCAGACUUAUUUAGAUCUAUAUCUGUAAGAUAACUUUAAAGAAAAAUAGGAGUUUUAAAAUUUAUUGUCUUACCUCUAUUUCAGAAGCAAAGGAUUUCCCCAGUCUUCUACCUACUAACUGUAAGGGGAACUCUAUAGGAGUUUCUAAUAAAAACAAAAGCUGCUUUUUUUCUCAUUAUGAACGGAAUUAUGCUCAUAGAAAAUUUGGGAAUAUAUAAAACCUAAGAUGGUAUCACAUUGGGGAUUAAGUUUUUUAAAACAAGAAAUGAGAAAAUGGUUAUUUGUGCAUUAUAUAUUUCAUAAGCUGAAUUUGACAAUUGUGUUCACUUUGGCAGGGAGGCUUAACCUCUUAUUUCUACCAUUCUAUGUCAGAUAAAAGUUAGGUUAUGAUGUAACAUUUCAAAUGAUACAACAAAUGGAUAUUCAUUAUAAAAAAUUAGAAUAGUUAGAACAGGAAAACUUAAGCAUUGCAUGUAAUUGUAUCUAGCAACAAAUUAAAAUUUUAAAAGGUUCAACUUUUACCAGAAAUUAAAAACACAACACUGUAAUUAACCUCCGAAAAAUAGCUAGAAAAUGCAGAGAAAUUCAGUAGGAUGUCAGAUUCUAGAGUUCCUGCUCUUGUUUACUACACUAUAUCUCUGGCUGAUUUUAGGUGACAUGGGGGAGAAAUGGGUGCUUUUGGUACAUAUUGCUGAGGUUUAGAAUAUAAUGAGUUAUCAUUUUUGGGAUAAGGUCGAAAGAACAAUCCAGGGUGAUUCCCAGUUUUCUGGAAGGUUUGUGAACACUUUGGUCUAUAUUUUAGUAAAUUAGACUUUUUAAAGCAUACAUUUUUAUUGUAUAUUUUUAAGGUAUAUAACAUGAUGUUUGGUGUAUGUAGUGAAGUGGUUACAAGAGUAAACUAAAUCCAUCAUCUCAAUAGUCAGCUGUUUGUGUGUGUGAUAAAGUCACCUCUUUGUGUGUGUGAUCAACUCUAAAUUUCCAGUGUACAACACAAUAUUGCAACUGUAAUCCUCAGGUUGUACAUUAGAUCUCUUAGGCUUACCUUACAUAUGUACGACUUUUUUUUUAUACCCUUUGACCUAUAAUCCUCCUGUUUCCCCCCAACCUGUAAUCGCCAUUUUAUUGUGUUUCUAUGUAUUUGGUUAACAAAAAACCCUACAUACGAGAUUAUGUCAUGUUUCUUUCUAUGUCCACCUUAUUUCCAUUAACAUAAUGUCUUCCAGAUUCAUCUAUGCCAAAAGUGGUAGGAUAUCUCUUUUUAAGGCUGAAUAACAUUCAGUUGUGUGUGUAACCCACCGUUUCUUUUUUCAUUCAUCUGUUGAUGGGACACUUGGGUUGUUUUCUGUAUCUUUGCUAUUGUGAAUAAAAGCAGCAAGAGAAAAAGCAAUAUGCCACAUAACAAGGAAGUCUUCAUUAGACAAUCAGAUUUCUCACCAGAAAGUUUGCAGACCGGCCGGGCGCGGAGAGAUGGGUGGUGUAUUUAAAGGGCUGAAAGAAUUAAAAAACAAAACUGAAAUUAGCCGAGUAUGGUAGUAUGCACCUGUGGUCCCAGCUGCUCAGGAGGCUAAGGUGGGAGAAUUGCUUGGGCCUAGGAGGCAGGGAUUGUACUGAGCCAAGAUUGUGCUACUGCCCUUCACUCCAACAUGGGUGACAGAGUGAGGCCCCAUCUAAAAAAAAAAAAGUACCCUUGCCAACCAAGAAUACUAUAACCAGGAAGGCUGUCCUUCAGAAAUGAAGGAGAAAUAAAAAAAUUUCUCAAACAAAAGCUGAGGGAGUUCAUUAGUGCUGGUGUGGUGAGGAUGGGAAGCAACAGGCACACUCAUUUAUCGCUGGUCAGAAUGAAAAACGGUAUAGCCACUUUGGAAGACAGUUUGGUGAUUUCUUACAAAACGAACCAUAUUUUUACCAUAUGUAUGGUUUAGCAGCCUUGUUUCUCCUUGGUGUUUACCCAAAUGAAUUGAAAACUUAGGUCUACACAAAAACCUGCAGAUAGAUGUUCAUAGCAGUUUUUUUAUAAUUAGCAAACUUGGAAGUAACCAAGAUGUCUUUAAUAGGUGACUGAGUAAAUGAACUGAUACAUCCAAGUAAGGUGCAACAGGUCUUCAAGUAAUGUCAUUUCAUUGUAAUGAUGAUUGGGGAAAGUUGGUUUUGUUGUACAAUUAUUUUGCUUAAAAAGUCAGUUUUCAAAAAUGUAUGGAAGAUGUUAAAUGAGGACUUACUGUAUGACAUUCUGGGGAAGGCAGAACUACGGAGACAAAGAUAAGUGGUUACUGAGACUGUGUGGGAGGGAAGGAGGACUAGGUGGAGCACAUGGCAUUUUUAGGGCAGUGAAACUACUCUACUUGGUACUAUAAAUGGAUACACGUCAUUAUACAUUUGUCAAAACCCAGAGAAUGUGUAACAUAGUGAGCCCUAAUGUGAAUUAUGGACUUUCAGUGAUAACGAUUUGUGUAGGUUCAUUAUUAUAACAAAUGGACCAUUGUGGUGUGCGGGUAUUGAUGGGGAACUUGGGGAAGCAGGCCAGGGGUCAUAUGGGAGCUCUUUGUACUUUCUGUUCAGUUUUGGUAUGAUCUUGAAAAUACUGUUUAAAAAAAUGGUCUAUAAUUAAAAAUUAAUGUCCCCUUAAAAGAUAAUAGAUCAAAAAAAAACCGGGUGAAUAUUUGCAAAUAGAUGACAAGUCUAAAACUGAUUUUUAAGUUUAAAAAUGUACAUAUCAAGAA
This is a long non-coding RNA of Sapajus apella (tufted capuchin), 5296 nucleotides long. RefSeq lists it as uncharacterized. The record is from RefSeq and is a predicted model, not a curated record. NCBI's taxonomy places the organism in Eukaryota, Metazoa, Chordata, Mammalia, Primates, Cebidae. The transcript is spliced from 2 exons.